AUGCCAUGGUGAGGGCAUUGCCAAAGUAAUUCUUUUAAUAUCUCUCGAGCUUCAAAUGAUGAUUCAUCGCCUCCUUGCCUAAAUGAGGUAAUCUUAUUUCUCAUCUU
Molecule: small nucleolar RNA, 107 nt
Organism: Vicia villosa (hairy vetch)
Lineage: Eukaryota; Viridiplantae; Streptophyta; Magnoliopsida; Fabales; Fabaceae
Source: RefSeq, a predicted model, not a curated record